Molecule: ribosomal RNA, 131 nt
Filed under: Castor canadensis (American beaver)
Lineage: Eukaryota; Metazoa; Chordata; Mammalia; Rodentia; Castoridae
Source: RNAcentral
GUCUACGGCCAUACCACCCUGAACGCGCCCGAUCUCGUCUGAUCUCGGAAGCUAAGCAGGGUCGGGCCUGGUUAGUACUUGGAUGGGAGAAAUAUGGAGGUCAACACCUAAAGAACAGGUGAACAAAGACU